UGAGGAAUAUUGGGCAAUGCCCGAAAGGGUGACCCAGCAACGCCGCGUGGAGGAUGAAGGCCGUAAGAUUGUAAACUCCUGUUAGAGGGGAAGAAUAACUAAGUUUGGAGCUUAGUAUGACUGUACCCUCAGAGAAAGCCCCGGCUAACUACGUGCCAGCAGCCGCGGUAAUACGUAGGGGGCAAGCGUUGUCCGGAUUUACUGGGUGUAAAGGGCGCGCAGGCGGAAUGGAAAGUCAGUGGUGAAAUCCUACAGCUUAACUGUAGAAACUGCCUUUUGAUACUUUUCAUUCUUGAGUUUCGGGGAGAGAGAGACGGAAUUCCAGGUGUAGUGGUGAAAUACGUAGAUAUCUGGAAGAACACCAGUUGCGAAGGCGGUCUCUUGGUCCGAUACUGACGCUGAGGCGCGAAAGGCUGGGGAGCAAACAGGAUUAGAAACCCCGGUAG
RNAcentral lists this ribosomal RNA (446 nucleotides) under uncultured bacterium. Its description in RNAcentral is "bacterial SSU rRNA". It matches the Rfam family "Bacterial small subunit ribosomal RNA", at positions 355 to 793 of the family's 1533-position model. The record is from RNAcentral.